UUAUUUUAAUUUUAAUGAUCUGGUUGUUGUGUUUGUUAGAGUUUCAUUUACGGUUCUUCUAACUCCUCAUUAGUAACAAAUAUUAUACUAUGUAAACUGGUGUUCUGCAUUUAAUUUGUUGGCAGAAUGCUGGAGUUCUCAUUUGAAUUUUCUGUUUUAAGGUGUUUCCAAUUGUGUAUGAGUUAUUCUCUGUUGGCAAACUUCAUUUUCAUUUCAGUUAUUCUCUGUAUUUUAGUGUCCAGUCUUUUUUGUUUUCGUUCCAUGGUUGUUACGUGCGAGAGAUAUUGAUGUGCGAGUAGGGUUGCUGGUUUUAUCUGAAUAGUUCAGCUCACUACUGUUUCCUUACAUUAAUGUUUCUGUAUGACAUCUUUCUGUAUUACACGAUUCUGGAAAAGUUGGGACAACUUUGUGGUAUUGUAUUUGUGAUAUGCUGAUCAGAGGCUUGGUUUAGAGAAUUAUGCUAAUCUUUUGUCUUUUUUCUUCUUUUUUUUCUACAACUAUUUGCCACACUACCCCAUCAUUGUACUGUUUUCUUAUAUUUAGGUUUUUGACAUAUAAUUGACAGUGCGAAAGUUUACUCAAUUCUGAAGAAAGUGGACAGCUUUGUGGGGUUUUUUUCUAGCCGUGAUCUAAACGUCUUGAUAUGAAGGUGUCCCCUGCUAGUUUAGCAGUUUUUGCAUCAGGAGUGUGAGUGUGUAACAUACAAGAUUCUAAGCCUUUUGAAUUUAAUGGGUUUUGUUUCUUCCUUGAAUGUAGAUGCCCAUCUCUUUCUUGGAUAAUCAAGAUAUACACGUCUGUUUUGC
RNAcentral lists this long non-coding RNA (803 nucleotides) under Trifolium pratense (red clover). Its description in RNAcentral is "long non-coding RNA (TPRA_LNC013608)". The record is from RNAcentral. Lineage: Eukaryota; Viridiplantae; Streptophyta; Magnoliopsida; Fabales; Fabaceae.